Long non-coding RNA from Ostrea edulis (European flat oyster), 635 nucleotides. RefSeq lists it as uncharacterized. The transcript has 3 exons. The record is from RefSeq and is a predicted model, not a curated record. NCBI's taxonomy places the organism in Eukaryota, Metazoa, Mollusca, Bivalvia, Ostreida, Ostreidae.
CUUGUAUUGUAUUUUACAUCUUGAAACGACCUGAUGUCAGAUGAAGAAGUCUGAAGAUACCUUGGAUAUCCUGUUGCAGGAUGACCCAAACGAUCAUGCAUUCAGUAUAAACAUGUUAUUGACAUCCCAAUAUUUAGUGGGAAGCUUCCGGGUAUCUUCCACUAGUGACAGUCUACUGGCAAAUCCAGACAUGCAUUGGAAGUAUGUUGAUGUGGAGGACAAAGGGACACCUGAUCCAAGAACUGUGGCAUUUCAUUCGGAGUGACAACCUGGCAUGCAGUUGAUAUGGGACCUGAUUAUUCAGAGAAUUGCAGAUUUUAUGAAGCUGUUUUUUGACAGAAGAUUUGGUUUUCUCCAUCUGUGUUGCCACCAACCAUUAUGCUGUGAUGGUCAUAUCUAGGGGGAAGGCUUGUCAUAUGCUUCCCAAGGAAGUUCGAAGCCUCUCACUGAAGAGGAACUGUACAGGUAUUACUAGUUUUAAAGUACCUAUAUUGUGACAGUGAUUUCCAGUUUAAAACGAAUAAUAAAAUGCAUUUUAUAAGAUUACCUUUACCAAAAUUAAUCUGGCUGUGCAUCUAACGCAUUUAUUAAAUGUGUAUUACAAUUACCCCAGAUAAAAUUUUACAAGUAAUUAA